CCCGCCUCUUUGCGUUUAUCUGCUCUCUUUGUUCGUCCGUCAAUUUUUUUUUAGCCCAACUGGAGGUAUCUGCCUUGUUUCCUUGGUGUUAUUCAAGACAGCUUCUUGUGUCAUAUUAGUUGGGUUAGCUAUUUGAACAAAGGAAACAAUCCAUCUUACUAAAAAGACAGUACCCAUGUACAAUGCUAACUCAUUAGGUUGAAACUUAAAAUAGAUAAGAAGGCUACCUGAUAUCGUAAGGGGAUCCACAUUUUCAUCUUGAUUAAGGGUACAUGAUAAUGACAACGAUGCAUCAUAACAAGCUUGCAUGUUUGAGGUCAUAAUCUUAUUUUUUUUGUCACUCAGCAUUUCAUUUCGUCCAAUUGCUUGUGUCUGCCUUGUUUGUAUAAUACUUUCCAUGUCAGCUCCUGGUGUCAUACGAAAAAUAACGCAUGUAGUACUAUCAUAAAGAUGAAACAUAAAUUUUUAUCGUCCAUCAACAACCUACAUAAGAAAACCCAUAGCUUGUUUUCAAAAAGUGUACCUCGUAUCACAUGGCAAGGUUGAUGAACAUUCGUGAUAUCAUUAAAGAGCCCUGUGACAUGACAGUUAGCAUUCCAGAAUAAGGCAGCACAUUUUCAUACUAAAAAGAAUGACGAAACAUAUCACAAUCUUACUUGUCGUCGUUUGGUGAGUUGUCUUCUCGUCUGGGUUAAGCAUAUAUUUUUUUCUUCCGAUAAGAAUCCCACCUCUUUGCAUUUAUAUGUUCCCUUUGUUCUUCAGUCAAGGUGUUUUUGCAAACAAUUGGAGGUAUUUGUCUUGUUUCUUUGCUAUUAUUCAAGACAGCUCCACCUGUCAUGUUAGUUGGUGUGUCAUAUUAGUUGGGUUAGCUAUUUGAACAAAGGAAACAAUCCAUCUUACUAAAAAGACAGUACCCAUGUACAAUGCUAACUCAUUAGGUUGAAACUUAAAAUAGAUAAGAAGGCUACCUGAUAUCGUAAGGGGAUCCACAUUUUCAUCUUGAUUAAGGGUACAUGAUAACGACAACGAUGCAUCAUAACAAGCUUGCAUGUUUGAGGUUAUAAGCUUAUUUUUUUGUCACUCAACAUUUCAUUGCGUCCAAUUGGCGGUGUCUGCCUUG
RNAcentral lists this long non-coding RNA (1120 nucleotides) under Hordeum vulgare. RNAcentral's name for it is "long non-coding RNA (HVUL_LNC017813)". The record is from RNAcentral. Lineage: Eukaryota; Viridiplantae; Streptophyta; Magnoliopsida; Poales; Poaceae.